Molecule: ribosomal RNA, 598 nt
Filed under: uncultured bacterium
Lineage: Bacteria
Description: bacterial SSU rRNA
Rfam family: Bacterial small subunit ribosomal RNA
Source: RNAcentral
CCUACGGGAGGCAGCAGUAGGGAAUCUUGUGCAAUGGGCGAAAGCCUGACACAGCAACUCCGCGUGCGGGAAGAAGGCCUUAGGGUUGUAAACCGCUUUUGGCAGGAACGAAAAUGACGGUACCUGCAGAAUAAGGUGCGGCCAACUACGUGCCAGCAGCCGCGGUGACACGUAGGCACCAAGCGUUGUCCGGAUUUAUUGGGCGUAAAGAGCUCGUAGGCGGUUCAGUUAGUCGGGUGUGAAAACUCUGGGCUUAACCCGGAGACGCCACUCGAUACUGCUGGGCUAGAAUUCGGUAGGGGAGUGGGGAAUUCCUGGUGUAGCGGUGAAAUGCGCAGAUAUCAGGAGGAACACCGGUGGCGAAGGCGCCACUCUGGGCCGACAUUGACGCUGAGGAGCGAAAGCGUGGGUAGCAAACAGGAUUAGAUACCCUGGUAGUCCACGCCGUAAACGGUGGGCACUAGGUGUGGGUUCCAACCAACGGAAUCCGUGCCGUCGCAAACGCAUUAAGUGCCCCGCCUGGGGAGUACGGCCGCGAAGGUUAAACCUCAAAGGAAUUGACGGCUGGAGACGCGCGACGGACGACGACGAGGGAGAG